GCUGGGGCUCAAUGGUAGCGUAUCUGAUUGGUAUGCAGAAGGGCCCAGGUUCAAUCCCUGCUAUCUGCA
Molecule: transfer RNA, 69 nt
Filed under: Sphaerodactylus townsendi
Lineage: Eukaryota; Metazoa; Chordata; Lepidosauria; Squamata; Sphaerodactylidae
Description: tRNA-Thr
Source: RNAcentral